RNAcentral lists this ribosomal RNA (530 nucleotides) under uncultured bacterium. RNAcentral describes it as "bacterial SSU rRNA". It matches the Rfam family "Bacterial small subunit ribosomal RNA", at positions 355 to 896 of the family's 1533-position model. The record is from RNAcentral.
UGGGGAAUUUUGGACAAUGGGGGAAACCCUGAUGCAGCGACGCCGCGUGCGGGAUGAAGGCCUUCGGGUUGUAAACCGCUUUCAGCAGGGACGAAGCGAGAGUGACGGUACCCGCAGAAGAAGCGCCGGCUAACUACGUGCCAGCAGCCGCGGUAAUACGUAGGGCGCAAGCGUUGUCCGGAAUUAUUGGGCGUAAAGAGCUCGUAGGCGGCCUGUCACGUCCGCUGUGAAAUCCCAGGGCUUAACCCUGGGCCUGCAGUGGAUACGGGCUGGCUGAAGGCAGGCAGGGGAGAACGGAAUUCCCGGUGUAGCGGUGAAAUGCGCAGAUAUCGGGAGGAACACCUGUGGCGAAAGCGGCGCACUGGACCACUUCUGACGCUGAGGCGCGAAAGCUAGGGGAGCAAACAGGAUUAGAUACCCUGGUAGUCCUAGCCCUAAACGAUGAUUGCUUGGUGUGAUCGGUACCCAAUCCGAUCGUGCCGAAGCUAACGCGAUAAGCAAUCCGCCUGGGGAGUACGGUCGCAAGGCUG